UGGGGAAUAUUGCACAAUGGGCGCAAGCCUGAUGCAGCCAUGCCGCGUGUGUGAAGAAGGCCUUCGGGUUGUAAAGCACUUUCAGCGAGGAGGAAGGUGGUGAACUUAAUACGUUCAUCAAUUGACGUUACUCGCAGAAGAAGCACCGGCUAACUCCGUGCCAGCAGCCGCGGUAAUACGGAGGGUGCAAGCGUUAAUCGGAAUUACUGGGCGUAAAGCGCACGCAGGCGGUUUGUUAAGUCAGAUGUGAAAUCCCCGGGCUCAACCUGGGAACUGCAUUUGAAACUGGCAAGCUAGAGUCUCGUAGAGGGGGGUAGAAUUCCAGGUGUAGCGGUGAAAUGCGUAGAGAUCUGGAGGAAUACCGGUGGCGAAGGCGGCCCCCUGGACGAAGACUGACGCUCAGGUGCGAAAGCGUGGGGAGCAAACAGGAUUAGAUACCCCUGGUAGUCCACGCUGUAAAACGAUGUCGAUUUUGGAGGUUGUGCCCUUGAGGCGUGGCUUCCAGAGCUAACGCGUUAAAUCGACCGCCUGGGGAGUACGGCCGCAAGGUUAAAACUCAAAGGAAUUG
RNAcentral lists this ribosomal RNA (568 nucleotides) under uncultured bacterium. RNAcentral's name for it is "partial 16S ribosomal RNA". It matches the Rfam family "Bacterial small subunit ribosomal RNA", at positions 355 to 912 of the family's 1533-position model. The record is from RNAcentral.